GCCGGGGUGGUGGAAUUGGCAGACACGCCAGCUUGAGGGGCUGGUGCUAGCAAUAGCGUGCAGGUUCAAGUCCUGUCCCCGGCA
Molecule: transfer RNA, 84 nt
Filed under: Tuwongella immobilis
Lineage: Bacteria; Pseudomonadati; Planctomycetota; Planctomycetia; Gemmatales; Gemmataceae
Description: Planctomycetes bacterium MBLW1 tRNA
Rfam family: tRNA
About the family: Transfer RNA (tRNA) molecules are approximately 80 nucleotides in length.
Source: Rfam by way of RNAcentral